CAACACAUCUGCACCUGUCUUCAACCACCUCAAACACACAUUGAUAUGAACCAUUUGAUAACAAACAUGCGGUUAUGAUACUAUUAUAAUCAGGCUGGGUAACAAUGGUUGAAGUGCUUUUCCUAUUUUCUCCACCAGGAGACUCUGUUUCUAUACACACAUUUAGAAAGAAGCUUCAUCUCAACUGACUUCUCUAAAGAUCUGCACUAGAGAGAACAUGGUGAUGUGGCAUCCUGCGAGAGACACUCAUAUCGCUGCUUCACCCAGGCAUCAUCAUUAUCUUCAUCAUCAUCUUCACCAUCAUGAACAGAGUUCUUCUCUAACUGGAAGCUGCCAUCUGACAUCAUGAUCGCACUCCUCAUCAGAUUUUCUGCCUCAUUACUUUGGACAGGACUUACUUAUGGGAAUGAUGUUACUCAGAGCCCCUUCAGACUCCAGAUUCUCAAGGACAAAGAUGUUCAGAUUGACUGUAGUCAUACUAAAGCAGCUACCUAUACAGAGAUGUAUUGGUACAGACAACUUCCAGGAGAAGGAAUCAAACAAAUAGUUCAUUCAAAUUCUUAUAGCAAUCCAGACUAUGGAGAAUUCAGUAAAGAGAAAUAUUCAGUUGUCAAGACAGAAGCACAGAGUGGAUCUUUCACAGUGAAGAAGUUGGAGACAGGAGACAGUGGAAUGUACUUCUGUGCUAACCAUCAACAUGAUCAAUCUUCUCAUACAUGUAGUAACUCUACUACUAUGGGUGACAGGACUGUCACAAACAGACCAAGUCCACCAGACUCCUACUGCAAUACUAAAACAACCUGGAGAUGAAGUCCAGCUGACCUGCAAC
This is a non-coding RNA of Esox lucius (northern pike), 829 nucleotides long. The record is from the annotation of a RefSeq genome assembly. Lineage: Eukaryota; Metazoa; Chordata; Actinopteri; Esociformes; Esocidae.